CGCUGAGUUUGAUCCUGGCUCAGGAUGAACGCUAGCGGCAGGCUUAACACAUGCAAGUCGAGGGGUAUAGUUCUUCGGAACUAGAGACCGGCGCACGGGUGCGUAACGCGUAUGCAAUCUACCUUUUACAGAGGGAUAGCCCAGAGAAAUUUGGAUUAAUACCUCAUAGUAUGUGAGAAUCGCAUGGUUUUCACAUUAAAGUUCCAACGGUAAAACGAUGAGCAUGCGUCCCAUUAGCUAGAUGGUAAGGUAACGGCUUACCAUGGCGACGAUGGGUAGGGGUCCUGAGAGGGAGAUCCCCCGACACUGGUACUGAGACACGGACCAGACU
RNAcentral lists this ribosomal RNA (331 nucleotides) under uncultured Flavobacterium sp. RNAcentral describes it as "bacterial SSU rRNA". It matches the Rfam family "Bacterial small subunit ribosomal RNA", at positions 1 to 337 of the family's 1533-position model. Lineage: Bacteria; Pseudomonadati; Bacteroidota; Flavobacteriia; Flavobacteriales; Flavobacteriaceae. The record is from RNAcentral.